This 253-nucleotide ribosomal RNA is filed under the name uncultured bacterium. Its description in RNAcentral is "partial 16S ribosomal RNA". It matches the Rfam family "Bacterial small subunit ribosomal RNA", at positions 524 to 776 of the family's 1533-position model. The record is from RNAcentral.
UACGAAGGGGGCUAGCGUUGUUCGGAUUUACUGGGCGUAAAGCGCACGUAGGCGGAUUUUUAAGUCAGGGGUGAAAUCCCGGGGCUCAACCCCGGAACUGCCUUUGAUACUGGAAGUCUUGAGUAUGGUAGAGGUGAGUGGAAUUCCGAGUGUAGAGGUGAAAUUCGUAGAUAUUCGGAGGAACACCAGUGGCGAAGGCGGCUCACUGGACCAUUACUGACGCUGAGGUGCGAAAGCGUGGGGAGCGAACAGG